GAGACGAAAGCUGCUGCCAGCAGGAGAUCCUGGGGAAAGGGGGAAAAGGCAGACAGCUGGUCAGCGGGUGCGGGAGCAGACACUCGCGCACAGGAGCUCCCUUCCACCCCGAGAAGCGGUACAAGGGAUGCCGCAGCUUCGCACACCCGCCUCCCUCGAUCUGCUAGCGAGGGCCCGUCACCGUCCCAGCCCGGGGGACGGGACACGACACCCCCCCCCCCCCCCGCCCCAGACCGCUCUCGCUACCUGCGAAGCCCCCUCCGCCAUGGCGCGGACGGACGGACGCUGCGCCUCCCCGGUCCCGCCGCCUUUAACGGGGCCCGCCCCCGCUCCGGCGGAAGCGGGAGGCGGUGCCGAAGCCGGAGCCGGUUAACGGGGAAUGGGGUUGGAGGUGCUGCGGCCCCGGGCCGUGCGCUGGGCGCUGCUGGCCGCCUUCGCGGCCGGGGUGCUGGUGGGCUGGCAGGCGGGCCGUGCCCGCCGCCGGUUCCUCCGCUGGCGCCAGCGCCGCCUCCAGCGCCGUCUCGCCGCCGCCCAGGAGCAGCUGGAGGCGGCUUGAGCAGCCUUGGCCUCGGUGGACGUUGGGUGAGCAGAAACGGAUUCGCCCCCUGUGCCGCUGUCGGAGCCGGUUUGGAAGAGGGCUGGUGAAAAACGGCGUCCGUGGAAUACUGGGCCCUCUCCUCUGUCCUUCAGAAGACGAGAUUCCCAAACUGCGUCAGGCUAACCUAACAAAACACUGGGGAUACAGGAACGACGACACCAGAUGUAUUUCCGUAUUUCAAAGGGUUGUCUGUGUUUGUCUUGCUUUCAGUCCACUGCUGAGAUACGCUGCUCUGCCCUUGCCGAGAAGCGCUGCUGAUACAUUAAACUAGCAAAAAUCACGAGGUGAUGUUCCUAGAUGUGUUUAUUUCUCUGUGAAGGUGAAAACGUACCUUAUGGGUGCUUGUAACGAGUGACGAAUCUCAUUAUGAAAGUACGCACGUGAAAAAAACCUGCGGGGACAACUAAAUGGUGAAAUAGCUGCAUGCGUUGGGAGGGUGAAUGAGCAAAUUAAAGGAAGGAUGCUUGUGCUUCAGAUUCUGAAUUUCUUCCUGUGCUGUGGACAAGGAAUUGUGGAGAUGGUUGUAGCGCGUUCCUUCUUUCUCUCCCAUGGCUAGCAAAUUCCAGAAAAGUAUUUCCUCGAGACUGAGAGAAGGGGGUGCUCCUGCUUUGCGCCAGAGGAUUUACUGCACGCUGUGCAGGCUGCUGGCUUUCAACUAUAUUACUGAACUGUGAAAAGUUCUAGAAGUUUUUUUUGGAAAAAACCCCACUGCCCAGCCCCCCUUAUGAUCAUGAAAUGCUGAUUUCUAGCCAAAUAAGUAGUCCUGUGGCUUUUUGGUAGAACAAGGUUUCAGACCUUUGGAAGUUCCGGGGCGUGCAAUAUCGAGUGCCCGUGUUCAGCAGAGCUGCUGUUCACUGGAGUGGGUGGUCUGAGCCACGUCUGCUCCAUCCCAGUUGUGCUUACUUUACCAGUAAAGCAUGGAUACCUUUUCAUGGUGUGUCUUUUGGUGUUCUUAACCUCGAGACCGGCAGACCGUUAGACCGUUAGAAAUGGGGGCUUCCGUACAGCUCCCAGCGCCACGUGGCC
This 1624-nucleotide long non-coding RNA is filed under the name Aquila chrysaetos chrysaetos. RNAcentral's name for it is "lncRNA (ENSACCG00020005711.1)". The record is from RNAcentral. Lineage: Eukaryota; Metazoa; Chordata; Aves; Accipitriformes; Accipitridae.